Molecule: small nucleolar RNA, 98 nt
Organism: Rosa rugosa (rugosa rose)
Lineage: Eukaryota; Viridiplantae; Streptophyta; Magnoliopsida; Rosales; Rosaceae
Product: small nucleolar RNA snoR100
Exons: 1
Source: RefSeq, a predicted model, not a curated record
CUAUGAAUGUGCUAGGCAUAGAAAUUGGAUAAAAGGGUCUGCAUGUCUGUUGUCUCUGAUAAUUUAAUGAUUUGAGGGCCUGGUUAUGACCUACAUCU